RNAcentral lists this ribosomal RNA (1472 nucleotides) under Pseudomonas sp. CFBP 13602. RNAcentral's name for it is "partial 23S ribosomal RNA". It matches the Rfam family "Bacterial large subunit ribosomal RNA", at positions 1 to 1527 of the family's 2925-position model. The record is from RNAcentral. Lineage: Bacteria; Pseudomonadati; Pseudomonadota; Gammaproteobacteria; Pseudomonadales; Pseudomonadaceae.
GGUCAAGUGAAGAAGCGCAUACGGUGGAUGCCUUGGCAGUCAGAGGCGAUGAAAGACGUGGUAGCCUGCGAAAAGCUUCGGGGAGUCGGCAAACAGACUGUGAUCCGGAGAUGUCUGAAUGGGGGAACCCAGCUGUCAUAAGACAGUUAUCUCAUGCUGAAUACAUAGGCAUGAGAGGCGAACCAGGGGAACUGAAACAUCUAAGUACCCUGAGGAAAAGAAAUCAACCGAGAUUCCCUUAGUAGUGGCGAGCGAACGGGGACCAGCCCUUAAGUUGGUUUGAGAUUAGCGGAACGCUCUGGAAAGUGCGGCCAUAGUGGGUGAUAGCCCUGUACGCGAAAAUCUCUUGUCAAUGAAAUCGAGUAGGACGGGGCACGAGAAACCUUGUCUGAAUAUGGGGGGACCAUCCUCCAAGGCUAAAUACUACUGACUGACCGAUAGUGAACUAGUACCGUGAGGGAAAGGCGAAAAGAACCCCGGAGAGGGGAGUGAAAUAGAUCCUGAAACCGUAUGCGUACAAGCAGUGGGAGCCCACUUUGUUGGGUGACUGCGUACCUUUUGUAUAAUGGGUCAGCGACUUAUAUUCAGUGGCGAGCUUAACCGAAUAGGGGAGGCGUAGCGAAAGCGAGUGUUAAUAGCGCGUUUAGUCGCUGGGUAUAGACCCGAAACCGGGCGAUCUAUCCAUGGGCAGGUUGAAGGUUGGGUAACACUAACUGGAGGACCGAACCGACUACCGUUGAAAAGUUAGCGGAUGACCUGUGGAUCGGAGUGAAAGGCUAAUCAAGCUCGGAGAUAGCUGGUUCUCCUCGAAAGCUAUUUAGGUAGCGCCUCAUGUAUCACUGUAGGGGGUAGAGCACUGUUUCGGCUAGGGGGUCAUCCCGACUUACCAAACCGAUGCAAACUCCGAAUACCUACAAGUGCCGAGCAUGGGAGACACACGGCGGGUGCUAACGUCCGUCGUGAAAAGGGAAACAACCCAGACCGUCAGCUAAGGUCCCAAAAUCCUGGUUAAGUGGGAAACGAUGUGGGAAGGCUUAGACAGCUAGGAGGUUGGCUUAGAAGCAGCCACCCUUUAAAGAAAGCGUAAUAGCUCACUAGUCGAGUCGGCCUGCGCGGAAGAUGUAACGGGGCUCAAACCAGGUACCGAAGCUACGGGUAUCACCUUAGGGUGAUGCGGUAGAGGAGCGUUCUGUAAGCCUGUGAAGGUGAGUUGAGAAGCUUGCUGGAGGUAUCAGAAGUGCGAAUGCUGACAUGAGUAACGACAAUGGGUGUGAAAAACACCCACGCCGAAAGACCAAGGUUUCCUGCGCAACGUUAAUCGACGCAGGGUUAGUCGGUCCCUAAGGCGAGGCUGAAAAGCGUAGUCGAUGGAAAACAGGUUAAUAUUCCUGUACUUCUGGUUAUUGCGAUGGAGGGACGGAGAAGGCUAGGCCAGCUUGGCGUUGGUUGUCCAAGUUUAAGGUGGUAGGCUG